Molecule: RNA transcript, 8575 nt
Organism: Scylla paramamosain (green mud crab)
Lineage: Eukaryota; Metazoa; Arthropoda; Malacostraca; Decapoda; Portunidae
Exons: 9
Source: RefSeq, a predicted model, not a curated record
GUUAGUUGUGUUUAUUUAUAUACCUUGUGCUGUGAAUUAGUAUACUGUGGUGAAGAUUACAAGCAAAGGAUGUGUUUAGUAGCUAAGGUAAUACAAGUGAUAUUAUUGUUUGCCAGACGGAGAAUGUAGGGACGCCCUGGACCUCGUGUCGGUUGGUGUGUUGGUUGGUCCUCCGUGCUACAGGUUAGUUGUGUUUAUUUACCUGCCAUGUGCUGUGAUUAGUAUAAUUUGGUGAAGGUUACAAAUAGAGGAUGUAUUAGUAAGAUAGGGUAAUGUACAAGGGAUAUAUUGUUGCCAGACAGAGUUGUGAGGACGCCCUGGACUGGAUGAUAGUUGGGGUGACAUGUCAGGUGUGCUACGGGGAUUCGAAGAGCGUCAGUGUGGGCCACUGAAGUCGAAACACUUCAAGCAAUAAACACCUGUUACGAUUUGUGGUUUAUUACACAUUUGGAAUCCCCAACAUUUCGACUUCAACCACAAUGGGCUGGCAAGAGGAGAUGGAAUUGUUAAAGAGGAAGAGGGGCAUUGCCAAGGGGAAAUUCACAAGAAAGGUGACCCUGCUGGAUGAGGGUGUACGGGAAGGUGAGCCAGUAUCAGUAUUGAAGAAUAACUAUGAACAGAUUUCUGAGGCCUUUCAACACCUAGAAGACAGUAAUGAUGUGAUAUUAAAAUAUGUGUGUGAUAAUAAAUUAGAAGACAAGUUAGUUAAGGAGGCUGAAGAAUACAUGCUAGAUUGUGAAAGAAUCAUGAAGAAAAGACUAACAGAAAUUAGUAACAUUGAAAACAUACAGAACAGUGUCAAGCCUAAAGUGAAGAUAAAGGCAUUUGAGCCUCCUAAAUUUGAUGGGAAUUUAAGAGAGUACCCUCGUUUUAAGGAGGACUUUAAAAAUCUAGUCAAAAGUGUGUAUGGUGAAGAUGCGUAUGCAUUGAAAAUGUGUCUCAGUGGUGAUGCCCUUUAGACUGUCAGAGGUGCAGAAGGUAAUUAUGAAGAAAUGUUUGAAAGGUUAGAUGACAAGUUUGGAAAUGCAAGAAAGGUGGUGGACUUGGUAAUAAGUGACCUUAGGGCUUUGAAAAGGAUCAAUGAAGGUGAUACCAAAGGAUUUAUAAGGAUGGUGGAUCAGGUGGAACAGUGUUGGCUAGAUUUGAAAAAUAUAAACUUGAAUGAGGAACUUAAUACUGCUAAUGUAGUCAGUCAUAUUGAGAAGGUGUUGCCCACACUUCAGAAGAGGGAGUGGGUAAUAAAGGCAGAAGAAGUAUCUGCUACUAGUGAUCUCUUUCCCACUUUAUUGAAAUUUCUGCAAAGGGAGAGAAAGGUAUUGGAGUAUAUGAAUUCUAGUGUCAGAUCUACUGGCGGUGAUAGAAGUUCAGUACAUCAUGUAAAUAAUUCAGCUGACAAGGUCAUGGAGUCAGAUCUGGUAAUACUAAUAAAACAGAUGAAGGAAGAGCAACAACUAAAGAAUAAAGAGUUAGAGUCAUGUAUUGUAAAUUUGACGGAGAUGGUGAAAGGUACCCACUUGAAGACUGGAAAUAAUGAGGGAGGAUGCUGGAUUCACAAUUCCAGGAACCUUGAUACUCUUGAUUGUUAUAAAUUUAAGAAUCUCAGCAACAAGGAGAGGUUUGAGUUAGCUAGAAGCAAUGGAAUAUGUUUUAAAUGCUUAAAGGGAUAUCAUCAGGCAUGGAAUUGUGUGAUGUCAGGAUCAGGGGUCAAGGUGUGUGUAACCGUCAUCAUCAUCCACUGGUGCAUUUUGAACAGGAAGAAGGUGCUAGUUAUAAUACAGUAUCUGCAAACACUCUGAACACCUUAUUGAAUAUCAGUACUGUGUACAGUAACACUCAACCUAUAACAGUACUGUGGGAUUCAGGUUCUGACAUAACCUUGGUGACACACAGUAUGGCAGAAAAACUAAGUUUGAAGGGCAAGGAUGUGAAUUUAUCCAUGAUCAAGGUUGGCAAUGUAAUUGAACAUCAUUCUACCAAAGAAUAUUGCAUACCACUGAUUGAUAGGACUGGGCAUGUAUGGGAAAUUAAUGCCAUUGGUAUAGAGGAAAUAUCUGCUAAAAUCAAUGAAUUUGAUGUGUCAGGAGUUAAGGAGUUAUUUGUAGGAGUAUCAAACCAUGAUAUUAAUCGCCCUUGUGGUGAGAUUGACAUGCUGAUUGGGGCCAAUUACAGUGAAUUAUUGCCUAAAGUUGUUCAGACUAAUGAAGGUCUUCAAUUGUUAGAGAAUCCAUUUGGGUUCAGUAUACGUGGCAGACACAGCAAAACAACAGCCUCAGGGAGCACGACGAACCAUGUGAUUGUGAGAACUCACAAGGUGUCAAGCUCAAUAAGCCUCAAUGAGAUCAAGGUAGAACCUACAGAUAAACUUAAGUCACAAUUAGAUAAAUUCUUUGCUUUAGAGGAGAGUGGGGUGCAGUGUGACACAAGAUGCCUUAAAUGCCUGUGUAAGGGUUGCCCUGUAAGUGACUGUGUCAAUAUUAAGGAAGAAAGAGAACUGAAAUUGAUUGAGGAGGGAUUAGUAUAUCAUGAAGUAGGGAAGUAUUGGACAGCAAGCUAUCCUUGGAUAAGGGACCCGAGACAUCUUAAGAACAAUGUAAAAGUGGCUGUGGCUAGAUUAAAAACUACAGAAAAUAGACUGAAAAAAUUGGAUAUCCAGUAUGCCCAGAGUUAUCACAAUGAAAUCAAGGACAUGGUGAAAAGGGGGGUAGCGAGACAAUUAAGUGAAGAGGUAAUGCAGUCAUACAAUGGCCCAAUUCACUACAUUUCCCAUCAUGAAGUAUUGAAACCAGAUUCUGCUUCAACACCUCUGCGUAUUGUAUUUAACUCAUCUUCAUCAUACAUGGGAAAAAAACUUAAUGAUUUUUGGGCAAAAGGACCAGUUGUUCUUAACAACAUGAUUGGAGUCUUGCUAAGAUUUAGACAGGAAAGGGUUGCCAUAACUGGUGAUAUAUCAAAAAUGUAUCAUUCUGUGAAAAUCAACACACUGGACCAACACACACACCGAUUUCUUUGGAGAGAUUUAAACAGUAACAAACCACCUGAUCACUAUGCCCUGACCUCAGUGACUUUCGGGGAUAGGCCGAGUGGGACCAUAGCUGUGCUAGCAUUAAGGCAUACUAGUGAAAAAUUUGGUAAGGGAGAUCCUGAAGUUUAUAACAUAAUUGUAAACAACACAUAUGUUGAUGAUAUUCUCUAUUCCAUUGAUACGGUAGAAAAGGCUUUUGAUUUGAUACAAAGAGCAGAACAUGUAAUAUCUCUUGGAAACUUUCAUGUGAAGCAUUGGAUAGUAAGUGGGCAACAUGAGAAUCAUAGUAUCAACAUCAUGGAAUCUGACAAUGGAGUAAUUUUAGUGGGUCAAAGAAUAUCAAAAUGGUUAAAGGAAAACUGGAAUCAAGAUCACUUCAUGUUGAUACCAGCUAACCACCCAGUUACUAGACUGUAUGUGUCCAGCUUACAUAGUAGAGAUCAUGCAGGUAUUGAAACCACCUUGGCCAAGUUACAGAGUAAGUUUUGGGUGCCGGGAGCCAGGAAAUUAAUAAAGUCAAUUAAAGAUAAAUGUGUCAUGUAGAAAACUCUCAAAACAAACUGAGAACCAGUGUAUGGGUCAGGUGUUAGAAGAAAGAAUGAAGCCAACUCCACCAUUCUAUCAUACUGCUGUCGAUUUGUUUGGACCAUUCGAUUAAGGACACUGUUAAAAGGAGAACUCAUGGUAAGGUAUAUGGGGUAAUAUUCAACUGCUUAGUUACUAGGGCAGUUUAUGUAGAUUUGGCAGAAGGAUACAGUGCAAGUGAUUUCAUGGCAACUUAUCAAAGAUUCAUCUCAGUCAGGGGUGCACCCAGAAUACUGUAUUCUGACAGAGGGAGCCAGCUGAUAGCAGCUGGAAAGAAUAUUGAAAGAAUUGGAAAAAAUGAAGGAGUUACUUGGAAAUAUAAUAGACCUAGUGAUGCACUGUGGUACAAUGGUGCCAGUGAAUCCCUUAUCAAAUCAGUGAAAAGAAAUCUUUGUAUUGCAAUUGGGGAUUCAGUAUUAACUUUUGGUGAACUUCAGACAGCCUUAUUUAAUGUAGCCAGUAUGAUGAAUGAAAGACCCAUAGGGGUAAAACCUUGCUUUAAUUUAGAACUUGGUAAUUACCUCUGCCCUAAUGAUCUAUUGCUUGGACGAGCUAGUGUAAAAUGUCCACAGGGAAUAUAUGAAUCAGAUGGAGACCAUAAAAAAAGAUUAGAGUUUAUUCAGAAAAUUGUUGAAUCAUUUUGGAGAAAAUGGCAGAGAGAUUUCUUUCCAACGAUGGUAGUAAGACAAAAAUGGCACACCAAUAGGAGAAAUGUAAGAGUGGGUGAUGUGGUUUUAGUUCAAGAUGCUAAUGCAGUUAUAAGAACCUGGAAAUUAGCUCAAGUAAUAAAGGCAGAUCCAGGUCGUGAUGGUGCUGUAAGAGAUGUAGACUUAAGGUAUAAGAUAGUCAAGGAAGGUAAAGGAUAUGAUGGGGUGACAGACAAAGUCAUGAGUAGGUCAGUGCAUAGGUUAAUAGUGUUAUUACCUAAGGAAGAACAAGAGUGAUGAUGAGCAUGUAGGAUCAUUAUAGAUAUGAUUUAUCUAUGUGUACCAAAGCAUUCUAUGUACUACCUGUGUAUAUUGUAUGUUCACUUUGGUCGGGGUGGAGUGUAUCAUUAAAAUGAUAUGUUAACCAUCUAUUAUUUAUUUAUACAAUAUAUUUUUGUUAUCUGUGUUAAAGAAAAUGUAAGUUGUGUUUUGUUGGAAUGGGAGAAGUUUGGUACGCUUCUUUGUGGUGUUUUGUUUCACCCACUACCUGUGAACAUGGUCGGCCUGGCGGGUUGUCUAAGCCGGCCCACCAAUGUACUGUGGGUUGUUGUGUUGGGUGGUCAUCUGUGCUACAGGUUAGUUGUGUUUAUUUAUAUACCUUGUGCUGUGAAUUAGUAUACUGUGGUGAAGAUUACAAGCAAAGGAUGUGUUUAGUAGCUAAGGUAAUACAAGUGAUAUUAUUGUUUGCCAGACGGAGAAUGUAGGGACGCCCUGGACCUCGUGUCGGUUGGUGUGUUGGUUGGUCCUCCGUGCUACAGGUUAGUUGUGUUUAUUUACCUGCCAUGUGCUGUGAUUAGUAUAAUUUGGUGAAGGUUACAAAUAGAGGAUGUAUUAGUAAGAUAGGGUAAUGUACAAGGGAUAUAUUGUUGCCAGACAGAGUUGUGAGGACGCCCUGGACUGGAUGAUAGUUGGGGUGACAUGUCAGGUGUGCUACGGGAAUUCAAAGAGCGUCAGUGUGGGCCACUGAAGUCGAAACACUUCAAGCAAUAAACACCUGUUACGAUUUGUGGUUUAUUACACAUUUGGAAUCCCCAACAAUCAGCAAGAGUGGCGCAACCAGACCGUCCCUCCUGACUCCACCACCUCUCAGAUCCAGGACUUGGUCUCCAAUACCAAUUACACGGUGCUCAUUGCUGGGAGGACAGGGAAGGGCGUGGGCGCCUCAACCACUGUCUACAUCUACAUCCGGGCAACCCUGGAACCCGAACUGCACAGAAAUACUGAGUUGGCAGUGAUCAGCGUGGUGUCCUUCCUGGUGAUAGUAACUUGUGUUGUAGCAGUCUUGCUCUGCCUCAGGAUCCUGCGCCUCAGAAACAACUCUCCGUCAGUGUUUCAGGGUAAUGGGACAUGCCGCAUGGUGUACGUCAAUGGGGUAAAGUCCUCAGGCAGGGAUCAUGGAACAGAACCUGAUGAUUACAAGCCCAUGCUAGCCACUCUACCUCCCGCCACACAGAACCAACACUGAGAUACGAAGGGAGGUCCUGGUUCGCAUGACGAUGGCAUUGUGGCUGACAGCUUAUUCGACCCCAGUGCAAAAUGAACCAGGAUGACGGGACAAGCGAGGGCAUGGGUCCUUUGCGGGACGGUCUCAACCACCACAGGAUGCUGGACAUCUUGGACGACAUUGACGAUGUUGAUGACGGCUCCAAGAGGUUGCUGCAGACCGUUUCCACAACACAAGCGAUGUCCCCGCGCCAGUCUGACCCAGAGGCACACCGUCUUGUAACAUAGUGUUUUCAUACCGUACAGUACUUCUUUCUAGGCUUAAGUUCAGUUUCACUUAUUCAUCAUAGGUCAAAUUCGUAACUUUUUCCACAUACGAGUAGUUGUGCUGAGUUUGGCGUCUCUGAGCAGCGUCCACGACGAGCCAUGGUCUUGUGGUGGUGAGGUCCCAACACUUGGUGGGAGGCAAGAGUUCUGACCUGGACGAAUUCAAGGAUGUUUUCAGGGUGACUUAAAGAUGUUCCAUGUUUCAAAUCUCACAGAAAUGCCUCAUACCGUAGUUAGAAUUUAUUGACAUGUAGCCUCAUAGUAUAAAUAUAUAAAAUGUCUCAGGAAAGCCAGGUUAAGAAGGAUAAUUACCUGGCGUAAGGGAUGACUUGUUCACCUGUAUUUCGUUAUAUAUGCUGGAAAAAUACUUGUUACUAUUAAAUCAAAGAAAAUGAUGCAUCUUAAAACGACGGACAUUCGACCAGCGCAGCCUCUCACAAGUUACUGCCAAGCACCAUUCUCUUACAACCAUUCCUAAACCAAUAAAUUGCAUUUCUUUUCCUGUAUCCAAGAAGAAAAUGUCCACCUUGUUGCUGAACAUUUCCCGCUGUAUCCACACUUUGAAGACUUUCCUAACUGAACAUCUGACUUCACAUUCUGAGGGUUCUCUGCUCCUCGUGUAGGGACGUCUUCCCAGGAGUCGAGGAUGACCCAGGUGGCUGUAGUACAUAUAAUAUUAUCUUAUGCGAGAACUGGUUCCCGUGUGGCGGCAAACCAACCACCACUGGAGGGUAUCCAUGUUCAACUAAUAAAUGACAGUUCCCUCCCCCCCGCAAAAAAAAAGAGUGACCACCAUACACAGCAAGUUCAAAUAAUGCCAUUUUUAAAAUACAGGCUCAACAUAUUUAUGCCUCUUGUCAUGUACAAGUUCAUACCACUUUAUAACCACUUUAUAAUGACAUUUGAUAGUUCCAUCCUGAUGUAUGGCUCUUGUGUACCAUUAAAUACUUGAGAUUUUUCUUCAUUACUUAGAUUUCAGAAUGACUACAUUUUCCUUCAAGCAUGUACUCCAUUUUUCUUUUCCCAAUAUAGCUGUGUAUAAUAUAUGGUCUAGUGGAGAGGAAUGAAACUUGUGUCUAAAGUGUAUUACAUUAUCUCGUAUAGGGUUCAGAAUAAAGCAUGUAUGAAAAUGAAAUUCGGUAAACUCGGAUCACACUUCCUGUGAAACUGAAUUAACUGAAUGAAUUGCUUCUGUAGUAUAAGUGUGUAAAACUGUGCGUCCCAUGAAUGAGUGGGAGGGAACACAGCUGAAUGGGAUGAAGAGUGUGAGAACUCAGCUAAGGUUAAAACUGUGAUUAUUUCGCCUUUGUAAUGUAGAUGAUGAGAAAAAAAAGGUCAUGUACUUGUAUAUUUGAGAAGCUGUUAAUCAUGUCAUGCAGUUCUAUAUUUGAAAAGCUGCCAAUCAUAAUUUGCAGGAGAAUGUAUUCUGAAUCCUUCAGUGUAAAGUGCUGCCGUCAGUUACUGUGUAAUGAUAGGGAUGAACUGUAUUUCCCCCUGCUUGGAAUUACAUGAGCAGGUUGGCUCGAGAGUGAGCGAGCCGAGUGAAAAAUGUGUUACUACUAUGGCUUUUCGUUAGAGCCGCCAGUGUUUUACGUGUUUCUUAAUGUUGUAAGCAAUUUCUUUCCUUCGGUAUAUUAAAAAAAGGUCUAUGUCAAGGCAGAAGUGGUCAGACCGGUAGUGUGAGGGAGUAGGGCAUGGCCGAGGAACACUGUGAACUCUUCAGCCUGCACUCGUACGUAAGACGUUAAGCAGUGUCGUGUGGCGAGAUCCGCGAUGAAGCUCCAGCUAGUGCUACCCUCCCUCCUACAGAAUGGCCAGGUAUUGGUCAUAUGGUACCUACCUCACCGUGGGAAGGCACUAGACCUCACCUGCUGUGAUCUCCCCUCAUUUUUCCCUCCAGGUGUGUCAUGUAUCUUGACAAGACCCACCAGCAAGCCUCUCCUGCCUUCAGCGUCCAGUGAGGCUCCACCGCGCCCCAGUCCAUCAGAGUAGCUCAACCUAGUGAUCCGUGUGUGCCUUAAACCGGUCUAACUUCAGCGUGAGGAACUCGGUCGCGUAGUUCACUUUGUUAGAAAAGUUAUCUUGAUGCUUCAUAAACCAAACCUUCCCUACAUCUUCCGCACCCAUUGCCCCUCGUGGUUCUACACCCCGUUGUUAAGGAAUAAGUGCUUGAAGGUCAUUUCGCCAUUCAGCAAAUUAACAGUUCCCUUGUCAAAUGCUAAAUCCGAAUCAUUGCAACAUGAGACGCCAUGAGAGCUAUCUCGUCUCUCUCUGUGUGGUGCAAUCAAGACAGUCAUUCGCUGGUUCAUUUAUCCCGGUGGCCGGGGUUAUAGUCUGCAGCAGUUGUUUGCCUAAGUGACUGAGUCGAAUAGUAAAUGUAUGCACGUUUAUUUACAAGAUGACAAACUUUGGUUUCAUAUACAUCAUAUAUAAAGAGUUUGAGAGUAUUAUUCAAUGUGGAUUUAAGAAAUAUUAAAAGUAACGAAAUUUG